UCUUAUCCAGAGUGGUGGAGGGACUGGCCCUAUGAAACCCGGCAACCAGUAUAUUAUAUAUACAUGGUGCUAAAUCCUGCAGCGUAUUGCUGAUAGAUGAG
Molecule: non-coding RNA, 101 nt
Filed under: uncultured Romboutsia sp.
Lineage: Bacteria; Bacillati; Bacillota; Clostridia; Peptostreptococcales; Peptostreptococcaceae
Description: SAM riboswitch (S box leader)
Rfam family: SAM riboswitch aptamer (S box leader)
About the family: The SAM riboswitch is found upstream of a number of genes which code for proteins involved in methionine or cysteine biosynthesis in Gram-positive bacteria. The SAM riboswitch acts at the level of transcription termination control.
Source: RNAcentral